This 255-nucleotide ribosomal RNA is filed under the name uncultured bacterium. Its description in RNAcentral is "partial 16S ribosomal RNA". It matches the Rfam family "Bacterial small subunit ribosomal RNA", at positions 524 to 776 of the family's 1533-position model. The record is from RNAcentral.
UACGUAGGGGGGCAAGCGUUGUCCGGAUUUAUUGGGCGUAAAGAGCUCGUAGGCGGUUCGAUAAGUCGGACGUGAAAUCUCCACGCUCAACGUGGAGGGGCCGUUCGAUACUGUCGUGACUCGAGUCCGGUAGGGGAGUGUGGAAUUCCCGGUGUAGCGGUGAAAUGCGCAGAGAUCGGGAGGAACACCCGUAGCGAAGGCGGCACUCUGGGCCGGUACUGACGCUGAGGAGCGAAAGCGUGGGGAGCAAACAGG